GCCACCGUAGCUCAGUUGGUAGAGCAACUGAUUCGUAAUCAGUAGGUCAGCAGUUCGACUCUGCUCGGUGGCU
Molecule: transfer RNA, 73 nt
Filed under: Candidatus Zixiibacteriota bacterium
Lineage: Bacteria; Pseudomonadati; Candidatus Zixiibacteriota
Also listed under: 1 other name
Description: tRNA-Thr
Rfam family: tRNA
About the family: Transfer RNA (tRNA) molecules are approximately 80 nucleotides in length.
Source: RNAcentral